UGGAUCCAGACUUUGAUUCUGGCUCAGGACGAACGCUGGCGGCGCGCCUAACACAUGCAAGUCGAACGGAGAAAGAUACAGCUUGCUGGAUUUUUCUUAGUGGCGGACGGGUGAGUAACACGUGGGCAACCUGCCCUUCAGAGCGGGAUAACGUUUGGAAACGAACGCUAAUACCGCAUGACAUCCCGGGAUGGCAUCGUUCUGGGAUCAAAGAUUUAUCGCUGAAGGAUGGGCUCGCGUCCGAUUAGGUAGUUGGUGAGAUAACAGCCCACCAAGCCGACGAUCGGUAGCCGGACUGAGAGGUUGAUCGGCCACAUUGGGACUGAGACACGGCCCAGACUCCUACGGGAGGCAGCAGUGGGGGAUAUUGCACAAUGGGGGGAACCCUGAUGCAGCGACGCCGCGUGAGGGAAGACGGUUUUCGGAUUGUAAACCUCUGUCUUUGGGGACGAAUAGAUGACGGUACCCAAGGAGGAAGCCACGGCUAACUACGUGCCAGCAGCCGCGGUAAUACGUAGGUGGCAAGCGUUGUCCGGAAUUACUGGGUGUAAAGGGAGCGUAGGCGGGUCUACAAGUUGAUUGUAUAAACGAUCGGCUCAACUGGUCGUGGCGAUCAAAACUGUAGAUCUUGAGUGGAGUAGAGGCAGGCGGAAUUCCUAGUGUAGCGGUGAAAUGCGUAGAUAUUAGGAGGAACACCAGUGGCGAAGGCGGCCUGCUGGGCUCUAACUGACGCUGAGGCUCGAAAGCGUGGGUAGCAAACAGGAUUAGAUACCCUGGUAGUCCACGCCGUAAACGAUGAUUACUAGGUGUGGGUGGACUGACCCCAUCCGUGCCGGAGUUAACACAAUAAGUAAUCCACCUGGGGAGUACGACCGCAAGGUUGCAACUCAAAUGAAUUGACGGA
RNAcentral lists this ribosomal RNA (904 nucleotides) under uncultured Bacillota bacterium. RNAcentral's name for it is "bacterial SSU rRNA". It matches the Rfam family "Bacterial small subunit ribosomal RNA", at positions 1 to 917 of the family's 1533-position model. The record is from RNAcentral. Lineage: Bacteria; Bacillati; Bacillota.